RNAcentral lists this ribosomal RNA (403 nucleotides) under bacterium. RNAcentral describes it as "partial 16S ribosomal RNA". It matches the Rfam family "Bacterial small subunit ribosomal RNA", at positions 355 to 776 of the family's 1533-position model. The record is from RNAcentral.
UGGGGAAUAUUGCACAAUGGGGGAAACCCUGAUGCAGCGACGCCGCGUGAACGAAGAAGGUAUUCGUAUCGUAAAGUUCUGUCCUAUGGGAAGAUAAUGACAGUACCAUAGAAGAAAGCUCCGGCUAAAUACGUGCCAGCAGCCGCGGUAAUACGUAUGGAGCGAGCGUUGUCCGGAAUUAUUGGGCGUAAAGGGUACGCAGGCGGUUUAAUAAGUCGAAUGUUAAAGAUCGGGGCUCAACCCCGCAAAGCAUUGGAAACUGAUAAACUUGAGUAGUGGAGAGGAAAGUGGAAUUCCUAGUGUAGUGGUGAAAUACGUAGAUAUUAGGAGGAAUACCAGUGGCGAAGGCGACUUUCUGGACACAAACUGACGCUGAGGUACGAAAGCGUGGGGAGCAAACAGG